RNAcentral lists this transfer RNA (69 nucleotides) under Janus sp. RNAcentral describes it as "tRNA-Gly". Lineage: Eukaryota; Metazoa; Arthropoda; Insecta; Hymenoptera; Cephidae. The record is from RNAcentral.
AUUUAUAAAAUAUAUAAUUAUGUAUAUUUAACUUCCAAUUAAAAAGACUGAAAAUUUUCAGUAUAAAUA